This 358-nucleotide ribosomal RNA is filed under the name Wohlfahrtia magnifica. RNAcentral's name for it is "partial small subunit ribosomal RNA". The record is from RNAcentral. Lineage: Eukaryota; Metazoa; Arthropoda; Insecta; Diptera; Sarcophagidae.
AUUUAAACUAGGAUUAGAUACCCUAUUAUUUAAAAUGUAAAUAAUAAAGCUAAGGUAGUAGUAGUUAUGUUCUUGAAACUUAAAAAAUUUGGCGGUAUUUUAGUCUAUUCAGAGGAACCUGUUCUGUAAUCGAUAAUCCACGAUGGACCUUACUUAAGUUUGUAAUCAGUUUAUAUACCGUCGUUAUUAGAAUAUUUUACAAGAAUGUUAAUUUUCUAAAUUUUUUUAAGAAAGUAUAUCAGAUCAAGGUGUAGCUAAUAUUUAAGUAGAAAUGGGUUACAAUAAAUUUAUUUAUACGGAUAUAAAUUUGAAAUAUUUAUUGAAGGUGGAUUUGAUAGUAAAAUUAUAAAGAUAAAUA